AAGACGUCGCUUGCAACGUGUCCAUCCAAACUGUGUUGCAGGCCCCUCCCUUCCACCGCACCACAUCCCACGCCGUGCACUCAUGAAUGGCGGCGGCGCUGCACGGCACGCGGAGGCUGGCUUUCCGUUUUGGGUCAACGACAUAGACUCCUUCGCAUCCGUGCCACAGCGUCAUGCACCACUCUCGUGCUCCCUGCUUCGCCUCCGCGACUUGUUCCGCUGCGACGUCGCCGAUCCUGGCGAGUGCUGGCAGCACAUCCUGCUCUCCAGCUACGUGACUGACCUUCCAUGGCUGCUGGCGACAGUGCCGGAGCUGUCCGCUGUGACAGGGAAACUGGUGCUGCUCAGCGGCGAAAAAGGGACGGCGACGCUGCGGCGCACCACCGGCGAUUCUUCGUGUCCAUACACAGCAGCGUCGCCGCUGAUGGACCGCGUGAACCCGUUCAUGGCUGCCUUGCGCGAGCAAGCGAGGGCCACGUCUGCGUUACACACCACCCUUUCGCGCGAACGCCUUGCUGUUCUCGAGCCGCCGUUGCCCGUGGCCUUUGGGACGCACCACACCAAAAUGGCGCUCUGCGUCAACGGCAGAGGCCUGCGUGUUUCUAUCUUCACCGCUAACCUUGUCGAGCAGGACUGGUGCCGGAAGUCGCAAGGCAUCUACGUACAGGACUUCCCAUGGAAGACGGCGACGGUGCGCUCAAACGACGACUCCGCGGAUGCGACUAUGGUGGAAACAGCAACGAGCAGCACCAGUAACAGCAACAAUGGCAGUAACACCUUCACAAAGGGCGCUGAAUUCGUCGCGCAUCUGCGCCACUACUUGAUGCAAUGCGGCGUGAGUCUCGCCGCUGCAUGUGCUUCACCGACAGAUGCGGCAUCCGCGGCUGGCCCCCUCGGAAUCUUCGAAACGGAUUUCCUAUCUCACAUCGAUUUCUCGGCUGCAGCCGUGUGGCUCGUCAGCUCCGUCCCCGGAACGUACGCGCACGGUGAGGUCUGUCCUGGCUACCGUGUCGGGCUUUGUCGACUGGCGGAGGUGCUACGGCGCUCGGCACUGACGAUGGCCACGUCGCCGGCGUCCGUCGACCUGAGCUGGCAGUACAGCUCCCAGGGCUCGCUCAAUCCGGCGUUUCUGAACUCGCUGCAAGCAGCCAUGUGCGGGGAGUCGGCGGCAGUGAUUGAGUCCGGUGACGCACCGCGAGGCGUGCGUGACGUGCAGGUGGUAUACCCCACCGAGGAAGAAGUGCGGAACAGCUGGGAGGGCUGGCGAGGCGGCAUGUCACUCCCUCUGCGUGUGCAGUGCUGCCAUGAGUUUGUGAACGCGCGCUUGCAUCGCUGGGGCAGCAGCGAGGAGGGUCACACGGCAAAGCGUGCAUUCCCACGGCGAACCAAAGUCGCAGCGGCCCACGCCAGCCGUGAGGAUGCUGUUGAUGUAGAUGGAGUGGACAUCGAUGGAGGCGAGGAGACGACGGCAUCACUGGCGGGCAGCUGCGCAGCCGACCGACAGUUUGCGCUGCCCCAUAUUAAGUCGUACGCGGCCGUUGCACCAGACCGUUCCUGCGUCCGUUGGUUUCUUCUGACGAGUGCAAAUCUCUCCCAGGCGGCGUGGGGUAGCCUAAGCAGGAAGGUGAACCAGCGCGGUUCGCGGCAACAGCUCGUGCGCUCGUACGAGCUGGGCGUUCUCUACGACUCCCAUUCUGCUAUUUACCCGUCAGCAUCAUCGUGGUUCAGCGUGGUGGCCGAGUCGAAGAUCGAGCUUCCGAACGCACGCAAUUCUCGUGCGAUGCUGUACGAGACGCCGCUCGGCGUUGACACUCAGGAUGUGUGUCUGUACAUACCAUACAACCUCCUUUGCCCGACCCCGUACGCAAGCACUGCCGCUCUGCGAGCGCACAGGCACGCACCUGACGAGGGUGAGCAGGCCGUCGAAGAAGCGGCGCUGGACUUUAGUGAUGUGCCGUGGGUGCUAGACAUGCCACAUCGGGGUAAGGACGCCUACGGCCUCGAGGUUGAGGAGGCGUUCGAGAGCAUCGUUUCUCCAAAUUUAUCAAAGUGGCAGCCUCGUACGCGCGCCAUGGACACCGCACCGCUGCGCAGCAUCGGGGCCCCCCGUAAGCGCAUGCGUGAGGCGUAGAGCGCGAGGGAGACAGGCACGCGCGUUCGUGUUUAUGUUCGAGGCCCGUUGCUCGCUACAGCGCCGUCGAGCGACUACCAGGACGAACAAGAAAAGCUGUCCCCCUCCACAUCAUUUCUCUGAAUCCACCCUCGGACAGAGAUCGCCAGCGCGCCACCACGGGACAUGUCAGUCACACAGCCACAGAUGGCUAGCAAAAAGUAAGACAGAAAGUCAGAGAUGCUCACACCGCAAGGCGGAAUGGUGGAGUAAGGAGUCCGCGACAAGCGAGCUUUACGCCAUCUGCUCCCCAGCGUAACGAUUUGUUUACGUUCGCAACCUGCUCCGUCUCCGCAGCCCCACACCCCUUCCCACACACGCCACGGUGCCUGCGGUGGCGUCCGCUACGCUCCCCUUAUGUUCGUUUUCGCCACACUCGCUCUCCCUCAUCCCACCUACACGUCACCGCGGCCCUUUUUUCCCUCCGUCUCCCUCCCCCACUCCCCGCCAG
RNAcentral lists this unclassified non-coding RNA (2621 nucleotides) under Leishmania donovani. RNAcentral's name for it is "gene:LdHU3.33.4680(CDS-product:tyrosyl-DNA_phosph odiesterase_1)". Lineage: Eukaryota; Euglenozoa; Kinetoplastea; Trypanosomatida; Trypanosomatidae. The record is from RNAcentral.